This 479-nucleotide ribosomal RNA is filed under the name uncultured bacterium. Its description in RNAcentral is "bacterial SSU rRNA". It matches the Rfam family "Bacterial small subunit ribosomal RNA", at positions 30 to 507 of the family's 1533-position model. The record is from RNAcentral.
AUUGAACGCUGGCGGAAUGCUUUACACAUGCAAGUCGAACGGUAGAGGGGGCAACCCUUGAGAGUGGCGAACGGGUGAGUAAUAUAUCGGAACGUGCCCAGUCGUGGGGGAUAACGUAGUGAAAAUUACGCUAAUACCGCAUACGAUCUAAGGAUGAAAGCGGGGGAUCGCAAGACCUUGCGCGAUUGGAUAUGCCCAGGUGGGAUUAGCUUGUUGGUGAGGUAAUGGCUCACCAAGGCGACGAUCCCUAGCUGGUCUGAGAGGAUGAUCAGCCACACUGGAACUGAGACACGGUCCAGACUCCUACGGGAGGCAGCAGUGGGGAAUAUUGCACAAUGGGGGAAACCCUGAUGCAGCCAUGCCGCGUGUGUGAAGAAGGCCUUCGGGUUGUAAAGCGCUUUCAGCGAGGAGGAAAGGUUGAUGCCUAAUACGCAUCAGCUGUGACGUUACUCGCAGAAGAAGCACCGGCUAACUCCGUG